UAGAUAAGGCACCUGUCCGGAGUUAAGGAG
Molecule: non-coding RNA, 30 nt
Filed under: Mus musculus (house mouse)
Lineage: Eukaryota; Metazoa; Chordata; Mammalia; Rodentia; Muridae
Source: RNAcentral